This is a non-coding RNA of Ceratobasidium sp. 395, 89 nucleotides long. The record is from the annotation of a GenBank genome assembly. Lineage: Eukaryota; Fungi; Basidiomycota; Agaricomycetes; Cantharellales; Ceratobasidiaceae.
ACGUUGGUGGUGAAACGGUUAUCAUCCUUGCCUUCCAUUCGAAAGAAUUACGUAAGCAAGGGGCGGGGGUUCGACUCCCUCCCAACGUA